RNAcentral lists this ribosomal RNA (578 nucleotides) under Lactobacillus helveticus. RNAcentral describes it as "bacterial SSU rRNA". It matches the Rfam family "Bacterial small subunit ribosomal RNA", at positions 57 to 602 of the family's 1533-position model. Lineage: Bacteria; Bacillati; Bacillota; Bacilli; Lactobacillales; Lactobacillaceae. The record is from RNAcentral.
GCAAGUCGAGCGAGCAGAACCAGCAGAUUUACUUCGGUAAUGACGCUGGGGACGCGAGCGGCGGAUGGGUGAGUAACACGUGGGGAACCUGCCCCAUAGUCUAGGAUACCACUUGGAAACAGGUGCUAAUACCGGAUAAUAAAGCAGAUCGCAUGAUCAGCUUAUAAAAGGCGGCGUAAGCUGUCGCUAUGGGAUGGCCCCGCGGUGCAUUAGCUAGUUGGUAAGGUAACGGCUUACCAAGGCAAUGAUGCAUAGCCGAGUUGAGAGACUGAACGGCCACAUUGGGACUGAGACACGGCCCAAACUCCUACGGGAGGCAGCAGUAGGGAAUCUUCCACAAUGGACGCAAGUCUGAUGGAGCAACGCCGCGUGAGUGAAGAAGGUUUUCGGAUCGUAAAGCUCUGUUGUUGGUGAAGAAGGAUAGAGGUAGUAACUGGCCUUUAUUUGACGGUAAUCAACCAGAAAGUCACGGCUAACUACGUGCCAGCAGCCGCGGUAAUACGUAGGUGGCAAGCGUUGUCCGGAUUUAUUGGGCGUAAAGCGAGCGCAGGCGGAAGAAUAAGUCUGAUGUGAAAGCC